GGAGAGGUGCCAGAGCGGUCUAAUGGGACGGCUUGGAAAGCCGUGGCCCUCACGGGUCCCGUGGGUUCGAAUCCCACCCUCUCCG
This 85-nucleotide transfer RNA is filed under the name bacterium. RNAcentral's name for it is "tRNA-Ser". It matches the Rfam family "tRNA". Rfam says of the family: Transfer RNA (tRNA) molecules are approximately 80 nucleotides in length. Their secondary structure includes four short double-helical elements and three loops (D, anti-codon, and T loops). Further hydrogen bonds mediate the characteristic L-shaped molecular structure. tRNAs have two regions of fundamental functional importance: the anti-codon, which is responsible for specific mRNA codon recognition, and the 3' end, to which the tRNAs corresponding amino acid is attached (by aminoacyl-tRNA synthetases). tRNAs cope with the degeneracy of the genetic code in two manners: having more than one tRNA (with a specific anti-codon) for a particular amino acid; and 'wobble' base-pairing, i.e. permitting non-standard base-pairing at the 3rd anti-codon position. The record is from RNAcentral.